CACACACACACACACACGGACAAAAUAGCUACAGAGAAAAAAGGGACUGGGACUCAUCAGCAAGGCUAAAUUUAUGACAUUUAAGUGGAAUCACCUAAUGUUUACAUUCUAUACACACACAGUUUUCUAAGACACAUUUAAAUGUACAUUGGUUAAAUUCAACCGCACUGCAAUUAGUCAUGUGGCACGGCAGGAGAGCUCUCACACAGAAGAAAUUCCUUUGGGUUGAUUGACAGGCUCACUCUUUCACAACGAAUCAUUUUCGACAAUACCUUUGGUUCUCAUUUUUAAACUUGGAGAAAAUCUGAGAAAAUCUGAGAAAAUGUUUCGUCAUUAAAGAUAAUUAAAAUUAAAGAUUUAUAAUUAAAUAUUAGAAUUCGUUCUUUUGGUAGGU
This 394-nucleotide long non-coding RNA is filed under the name Androctonus crassicauda. The record is from RNAcentral. Lineage: Eukaryota; Metazoa; Arthropoda; Arachnida; Scorpiones; Buthidae.